RNAcentral lists this long non-coding RNA (9079 nucleotides) under Sorghum bicolor (sorghum). RNAcentral's name for it is "long non-coding RNA (SBIC_LNC002772)". The record is from RNAcentral. Lineage: Eukaryota; Viridiplantae; Streptophyta; Magnoliopsida; Poales; Poaceae.
AUCUCUGAGUUAGAAUAAACUGUUAAGACUAAAAACUUACUCAUUUUACCUUUCACCAUGGGGCUUGUAACCGCCAUUUGUGUCUUGAGCAGUUAAAAGAUAGAACGGUCAAGUCAAGCGCCAUGUCUCUUAUUCUUGAUCAACUAUAGCUCUGGAGUUUUUGCAGAUUUUCAAAUAAAACUCAGAGAUUCCUUAUAUGAUUCUCUCAAAUCUCUCUUUUGUGGUAUUUCUGGAUCCUUACCAAGGCAGUAAUGGUAUAUGCCUUAUCUCAAAGUAUGUGGUAUUUUUGGUAUAAUGCAUAGUGAUAUUACCUUCUCUCUCACCCUACUCUAAUAAGGUUUUGAUAUCUGGAGCUCAUAGGUGGGAGACAGCUAAUACAUACUUACAAGACAUUUAUUGCAUAGUCAAACCAUAGAUCCAGAGAAACAAGUCAAUAAGUCAAAUCAAGAUGUGCAUGUGUGGCGAAUGAAUGGUGUAUGGUGAUGAUGGUGAUAACAAUGGUUUAAAUCUAAUUCUGCUUUUGCUCUUUUUAGGGGAUACUUACCUUUCUUGCACUUUGAAGCUUUUUGAGGGGAAUGAGAUGCUCUAUAUUUUCUUUUUCUUUCUCUCUCAGGUGGGUAUCUUGUACCCCUAAUUCUACUGUCGGACACUUGUCCAUUUUUACCUCUCGUCUCACUUUUUCUUUUCUUCGAGGUUCCGGGCACUUGCCCCUUUUUAUUUCCUCGUAUAUAUUUCUCUCUCUUUUUUUCUCUUUCUCUUCUCUUUUUUUAGAGCACUCAUCUCCUGAAAUAAUGUAGCAAGUGGUAGUAACCAAAAUAACUGGAGCAUUUAUUUCACAUUGAAUAAUAGGGAUAGGAAAAUGUUUUUGGCUAUUCUCUCUCGGAUUAGGAGUAGAAUAAUUUUGGGUGAAUCUGGAGAUGGAAAUGAGUGGAUGUAUGUGGAUGCGUACUUCCGGAGUAGAAGCAGCAUAUACGAGUGAACGUGCAAGUGAAUCUUGAUUUUAACCACAUGACAAGCUCCUAAGGGUCUACACAGCUUGACCACACUCAAUGCUCAUAAGCAGUAAAAAGUAAAUGUGUGGCUCUGUUGGGUAUUUUAAACGCAAACAGAAAAAUCCGCAAGCACACGGAUACCGAUGUAGCUUUCACCAGGGAGUAUUCCAGAGUAUCGAUUUUCCACAGAGAACGUGAGUGUAGUCAUUAAGAUCCAAGAUCGCCCAAGGAUAACUAUAUAAUUAUUUUUGGUGGGAAGAGAGGAAGUUUCCUGAGAGUUCUCUAGAUGAUCUAAGAAUCAAGAAUUACUUCAAGAUUAUCUAUUUCGGGACAUCAGAACACUAACCACAGAAAGAGAUGAGAAGGGGGCUAGGAAGCUCUGACUACGGUCCUACAAACACCGAUCCGAACCAGGUGGAAUACGUCGACCGUUAGGGCUGUCACUACCCUAAGGCUACCACAACAAUCCGCAGGAUUGGGUGCAAUUCCAGGUAAUCGCAAGACUAAACACCACGUUUAAUCUAUUAAUUACUACUCUAAUGUUUCAAAGACUAGAGCACUUGAUGCAAGCGGGAAUCCAAUAAAUAACUUGAAUGUAAAUAAAAGUAAUUAGAGAACUCAGGAGUUAUGAGUUGAAGAACCUGGAGAACGAUGAAGAACGAACCAGUUGCUGCAAAAGUACAAUGUUGAGGAAGAUCCGACAGAUCCGGCUCCUCCUCCGCUCUCCUCUUCUCUCUCCCUAUUUUAUAGAUUACAACUAGAACUAACUAGAACUAGAACUAGAGGAACUAGAACUAGAACUAGAUGAACUAGAACUAGAUCUAGAUGAACUAGAGGUAGAACUAGAAGAACUAGAGGGAUCCUCUCUACUUGGAUGAAGAAUUGAAACCCUAACUUUGAUUCUGUAGAAGAGGUAUGAUCUCCAGGGGCCAGGGGGGUCUGGUUUUAUAGUCCCUUCAAGUGAAUCUGGGCCGUCGGAUCAAACCGAUAUUGAUCGCACGGUUUUCCUUGAUCCUUUAGGUCGGUGGAGCUUGGUCCGCAAAGUUGGACGUGUUUGACCACAACUCCUGGGCGGGCGCCCAAGGGGGGUGGGCGGGCGCCCUGCCCCCGGGCCUGUUCGCCUUCCCGUUCGUUCCCGUGGCUUCUGGAGUCUUCUAGAUGACGUAAAAUUGCGUGGCACGUUAAUAUCUCUGUGUCAACCCGACGUGUGGGCCUUUCUUCUGUAUGUCCUGAUAACCCCCUGCAGAAAUAGACAAACACCAAAACUUGUGUAAUUCUGUCAGAUAAAACCCUAAGUCUAGAUGUUGGUAGCAUUUGGAUCCUUUUCCAUGAUUAGUUGACGAUUAAAUGUGAGCAUUAAGGACCGUCAACAAGCUCCCCCAAGCUUAACCUUUGCUCGUCCCUGAGCAAAGAUGAACUCAAGAGUUUCUGCAGUGGUUUCAUAACUUAAAGAUACACAUGCAUUUAAACAAGAUCUCAUCUCUGGUUAGAGUAAACUAUUAAGACUUAAAACUUACUCAUUUACCUUUCACCAUGGGACUUGUAACCGUCACUUCUGUCUUGAGUAGUUAAAUGAUAGAACGGUCUAGUCAAGCACCAUGUCUCUUAUUCUUGAUCAGCUAUAGCUCUGGAGUUUUUGCAGAUUUUCAAAUAAAACUCAGAGAUUCCUUGUAUGACUCUCUCUAGUCUCUCUUUUGUGGUAUUUCUGGAUCCUUACCAAGGCAUUAAUGGUGUAUGCCUUCUCUCAAAGUAUGUGGUAUUUUUGGUAUGAGGCAUAGUGACAUUGCCUUCUCUCUCACCCUACUCUAAUAAGGCUUUUGAUAUCUGGAGCUCAUAGGUGGGAGAUAGCUAAUACAUACUUACAAGACAUUUAUUGCAUAGUCAAACCAUGGAUCCAGAAGAUCAAGUCAAUAAGUCAAAUCAAGAUGUGCAUGUGUGGCGAAUGAAUGGUGUAUGGUGAUGAUGGUGAUAACAAUGGUGAAAGCCUAAUUCUACUUAUGCUCUUUUGAGGGGAUACAUACCUUUCUUGCUCUUUUGAAACUUUUUGAGGAGAAUGAGAUGCUCUAUAUUUUCUUUUUCUUUUCUCUCAGGUGGGUAUCUUGUACCCCUAAUUCUACUGUCGGACACUUGUCCAUUUUUACCUCUUGUCUCACUUUUUUUUUCUUUUCUUUCGAGGUUCCGGGCACUUGCCCCUUUUUAUUUCCUCGUAUUUAUUUUUUUUCUCUCUCUUUUUUUUAUAUUAGAGCACUCAUCUCCUGAAAUAAUAUAGCAAGUGGUAGUAACCAAGAUAACUUGAGCAUUUAUUUCACAGGGGAAAAACAGAAAUGUUUUUGGCUAUUCUCUCCCGGAUUAGGAGUAGAAUAUUUUUAGGUGGCUCUGGAGAUGGAAAUGGAUGGAUAUAUGUGGAUGGUACUUCUGGAGUAGAAGUAGCAUGUGUGAGUGAACGUGCAAGUGAAUCUUGAUUUAACCACAUGACAAGCUCCUAAGGGUCUACACAGCUUGACCACACUCAAUGCUCAUAAGCAGUAAAAAGUAAAUGUGUGGUUCAUAGUCUAACAAGCAUGUAUAUAUGGCUGUGGUAGGAAUUUAAAAUCUCAUCAUACAGGAACUCAUCAUGCAACAUUUUAAAGAUUUUCAAAGAUAAAAUUCUCCAGAAUUCUAGCAUCUCUAGGAACAGAUAAACAGCAGCUCAACCUUCCCAUAUCGUAUCCGUUAACGACUUAGACUUUAGAUCAAGUACUCUCCCCACAAGUUCAGGUUUAGAGCAAAUCUUAAUUAAUAACAGUCAUGCCUAAACUUAAGAGAGAUUUCAAUUUUUAGAACUAGUCAUGGCAGAGCAACUAUUCAUCAUUUCCAUGUGAAAGCUUAUCAUGAGGGUUCAUAGCAAAUUUUAUUUAUUUAUUUAUUUAGCAAACUAAGCAAAGAUAUAUAUAUAAGCACAAAAUCUUUAUUUGGGUUUUUAUGAUUAUGCAUCUUUUUAUUAUUUGAGUAAAAUAUAAACGUGAGUAGAAUACUUAGGUGGAUAAAUGGAGGUGCUCUCCCCCAAGCUGGAUUUUGACGUAAUUCCUUUUGAUGUAGCAGGUUGCGGAGGUGUAUUUGAAUGUCGGCAGCACCCUGAUAUUGAUUAGGAUGUCCUCCGUCUACUAGUCUUCUUUGAUCCUUUAAUUCUGUGGAGCUCAAAUAGACAACAAAGCUUUGUGGAACUAGUUAAGUGUUAGCAUAAAUAUCUAGCCUUUAUCAUGUUGAGCCUCCUCAAUAAAUGUUACUCUCUUUAGUAGGAUCAUAUUUUCAUUUUUAUAGGACAGGAAUAUAUAUAUUUAUUUUUACGCCACCACAGUGAAUGUACUUAUGGGUUUUAUGCCAUGAGCAUACUCACAUGGGGCUUACUUAACAUUUUUAUUUUCUUUUCAAGAUGAUAUGAACCUGAUUAACUAAAAUAAUUGAAAGGAAAAAGAUAACUACCAAGUUUACCUCUUGGCAAGGCGUUCGGUGUUUUUACGUCCUCCGAACGGGACUCUCCGUUUUCUCAAUCAUCCUGGAAUUCGCUGGAUAGCGUAGUCGGUGGUUCUGGCGGUGCCUGCUCUUCGUGUAUAACUAUCUUCUCUCUCCACACAUGACUCGGUGCUACGGUCUCCUCAGGACAGUUCCGUUCAAGUUGUAUGUCUUUAGACCUUACAACUUCUCCUUCAUAGUCUACCCAUCCGUCCUUGAUGAUUUUGCCUUCUCUUGUUACGGUUGCGUCGUCUUCUUCUUGUCCUAACCUGCUUAGAGUCUUCAAUUAUAUAGUUAGGGUCAGUAAAAUAGUGGCGUACCUUCUCAGAGGUGAAGUGCAUGUGGACUUCUCUGGUUCCAAUGUAUAUGAUUGCUUUAAUGGUGCUAAAGAACGGUCUUCCAAGGAUGAUGGGUGGAUCGUAAUCGUCUUCUCCCAUGUCAAUAACCUUCAAUCUUUCAGAAUGUCUGAUCUGCCAUCUGAAGCUGAAUGUAUGUCAGUUUUAGGGGCAUGGUUCCGAAUAGGAGCUGAGAGGUGACUGGCGGCCAUUAUGUCGACGCCUGACCCGGUGUCGCAAAGCAUCUUCUGGAAGUUGUAUCCAUCAAUGGAGCACUGGAUGCUUGGCAUACUUGGGUCGUCCUUUUUGGUUAGGAACGGUGACUUAAGUCGACGAUCUUAACCUCCUUGAACUGCAGUGACCAUCUUUGCUGACUUGGUCCACAUUUGCUUGUUCCUGUUCCUCCUGUUGGUCCUCUUCCUUGUUUCAUGUCGGGAUUGCUCUGAGAUUUGUGUAGUCUUGUUCUUGAAGGAAAAUGUCUCAUUUCUCCCUUUGAUCUAGAAACUGAACUUGGCAGCACUCGCGUAGAUGAUAGCUCCCGAGGUGUUCAGGAAUGGCCUCCCUAGGAUGAUGGGUGCCCUCUCAUCAGUACCAGUCUCUAUCACCACGAAGUCUGCUGGGGCGUACAAGGUACCAACUCGUAUACAGAGGUUCUUCAAUAUUCCUUUUGGGAAACUUAGUGUACAGUCUGCAAGCUGCAAACCCAUGGUUGUUUCUGAUAAAUGAUGUGUAAAGAAUUUUUCUUAGAGUACCCUGGGCAUAAUGUUGACGCUGGAGCCAAAGUCGCAGAGUGCUUCCGGGAAGUCCACCAUGCCGAUGGAGAUCGGGAUGACGGGACGUCCUGGAUUGUAUCUCUUAACCGACAGAAGGUCAGUAAUUACUUCCACAACAGGGUUACUCCAGUAGUUACAUCCUCAAGCAUCUCAGGGCAGUGAUUGCCUGAGUGUCCAGUAUCUCCAGUGUGUUUGUGCUCGUAGAUCUAGGUUCUUCACUUGGUGGAGUCUGGGAGUUAUAAAAGUCCUUCAUAUUUUGCUCGAAGUGUACCUGCUCAUAGAGACAAGGCCGAGAUCAAGUGCAUGGGCUCUGUUGGUGGAAAACACCAACAGAACCAAAAGUGUAUUUGUUCUCUCUAACCUUAAGCAUAGUGAGCAAGACAAAGUUGAUGGAUAAUAAGAUCAUGAGUGUAGCAUUUAACAUUUGUCAGAUUAGAUUGCUCAACCUUAUGGAAAGAUAAUCUAUCUAUAUGUUUUGUUUAUAUCUUCCAAAGAUUGAGUGUGCAACAUUUUAGCUUAUACGAUUAGGAGUGUGGAAUCACAAAGGUGGAAGGACUAAACAUGUUGAAUCGAUUGGGUUGGUUAAUCUAGAGUUGUAGAUCAUACAUGUUUGUCUCUUUUAUUCAUGUGAAUGCCAGAACCAAGAAAAAGCUUAUAGAAGUGAUAGUCAAGUACCUUAAGAUGUUACCUUACUUGAAGAGUGAUGGUACAGUAUUACCUUGUGGAAGCUUUCCUUUCUUAGUGGUAGUGCAUCGUGUUUGUGGCACCGUCCAUGGAUCAUCUCUUGUGAGCUAUGCCUUCCUUGUGUAGAUUGUUAAACUUCAUGUGUCUCUCUCAUUGUCUCCAAUGUGAGUUUGUCUCAGGACUUCCCAGGUCGAUAUUGAAUGUUUUCCUGCAGGGGUUAGUCCAACAAAAUAUACCAAUGUCUACACAAGCGGUUUUUAGUUCAAUAACCAAACUAGACUCCAUGUCUAAUUAGAUUAAGGAAGGCUGUUUAACCUAAGCACCAUGCUUAAUUUAAAAACCAAUAGAAGUAUGUACAGUACUUCCAAACUAACACUUACUAGGAUAAACAAAGGUAGCGUGAUGGCUUUUAUAGAGAUCUACUCAAGUGGAGAUGAAGUAGUGUGAUUACUAUUUAACAAAUUGAGCAUGUCUCAGGGUAGGGAUAACCAACAUAGCAACAUGGCAAAUGAUGUUUUUGUAUAAAGUACUCCCCCAAGCUUGAAUUUUGCAAAAUCAAGUUUGGAUGAAUUUAAUUCAAUGUUGUAUGAUGAUUGGUUGGACAUACCUUGUGCUUGUCAUUCAUCCGAUCUUCUUGCUCCAAUCCUGGAAAGGUUAGUGACAAGAAUACCCGAAGGAAUUUUUUUACAAUUAUCCUUAUAUGCUCAAUACACAAGUUAAUGUUGCAAAUAAUUAAAAGCUCAUGUUACAAUCUGAUCAGUGCUUGUUUUAGGACACUAAGCUUGUCCUUGGGAAACCAUCAAUUUAUGUCAGCGAAGUGGUUUCCCCUCUAACGCUGACCUAUAUCAAGAUCAACUCAACGAGAUCUACAAAAUUUAUUAUAGACAUAUGCAUCGACAACCGCCCUUUUAAAGUUUUUAUAAAUAGAAAGGAUGUGGGGGAUGGAGAUCUCGAAUGUGGUGAUGUUGGAGAGACCAAUGGAUUGUGAAGAUGUUGCAUAUGAGCAUGGAGUAAAUGAAGUGGCUAUGAAAUAAAUUCCAUGCUCAUUAAUGCUUAGAGUGAAAUCCAUGUGGUAUGGUGAAAAUGGUAAGGUGAGUGUGGUAGAAAAAGAAAAAGGAUACACGGACGACUUGGUUCGAAACUAGCACAGCUACCGUUCCCCGGCAACGGCGCCAGAAAGCUUGUUGGGUAUUUUAAACGCAAACAGAAAAAUCCGCAAGCGCACGGAUACCGAUGUAGCUUUCACCCGGGAGUAUUCCAAAGUAUCGAUUUUCCACAGAGAACGUGAGUGUACUAAUUAAGAUCCAAGAUCGCCCAAGGAUAACUAUAUAAUUAUUUUUGGUGGGAAGAGAGGAAGUUUCCUGAGAGUUCUCUAGAUGAUCUAAGAAUCAAGAAUUACUUCAAGAUUAUCUAUUUCGGGACAUCAGAACACUAACCACAGAAAGAGAUGAGAAGGGGGCUAGGAAGCUCCGACUACGGUCCUACAAACACCGAUCCGAACCAGGUGGAAUACGUCGACCGUUAGGGCUGUCACUACCCUAAGGCUACCACAACAAUCCGCAGGAUUGGGUGCAAUUCCAGGUAAUCGCAAGACUAAACACCACGUUUAAUCUAUUAAUUACUACUCUAAUGUUUCAAAGACUAGAGCACUUGAUGCAAGCGGGAAUCCAAUAAAUAACUUGAAUGUAAAUAAAAGUAAUUAGAGAACUCAGGAGUUAUGAGUUGAAGAACCUGGAGAACGAUGAAGAACGAACCAGUUGCUGCAAAAGUACAAUGUUGAGGAAGAUCCGACAGAUCCGGCUCCUCCUCCGCUCUCCUCUUCUCUCUCCCUAUUUUGUAGAUUAGAACUAGAACUAACUAGAACUAGAACUAGAGGAACUAGAACUAGAACUAGAUGAACUAGAACUAGAUCUAGAUGAACUAGAGGUAGAACUAGAAGAACUAGAGGGAUCCUCUCUACUUGGAUGAAGAAUUGAAACCCUAACUUUGAUUUUGUAGAAGAGGUAUGAUCUCCAGGGUCCAGGGGGGUCUGGUUUUAUAGUCCCUUCAAGUGAAUCUGGGCCGUCGGAUCAAACCGACAUUGAUCGCACGGUUUUCCUUGAUCCUUUAGGUCGGUGGAGCUUGGUCCGCAAAGUUGGACGUGUUUGACCACAAAUCCUGGGCGAGCGCCCAAGGGGGGUGGGCGGGCGCCCUGCCCCCGGGCCCGUUCGCCUUCCCGUUCGUUCCCGUGGCUUCUGGAGUCUUCUAGAUGACGUAAAAUUGCGCGGCACGUUAAUAUCUCUAUGUCAACCCGACGUGUGGGCCUUUCUUCUGUAUUUCCUGAUAACCCCCUGCAGAAAUAGACAAACACCAAAACUUGUGUAAUUCUAUCAGAUAAAACCCUAAGUCUAGAUGUUGGUAGCAUUUGGAUCCUUUUCUAUGAUUAGUUGACGAUUAAAUGUGAGCAUUAAGGACCGUCAACAGGCUCAAAGUCUAAUAAGCAUGUAUAUAUGGCUGAGGUAGGAUUUUAAACUCUCAUCAUACAGGAACUCAUUAUGUGAUAUUUUAAAGAUUUUUCAAAGAUAAAAUUCUCCAGAAUUCUAGCAUCUCUAGGAACAGAUAAACAGCAGCUCAACCUUCCCAUAUCAUAUCCGUUAACAACUUAGACUUUAGAUCAAGUACUCUUCCCACAAGUUCAGGUUUAGAGCAAAUCUUACUUCAUAACAGUCAUGCCUAAACUUGAGAGAGAUUUUAAUUUUAAGAACUAGUCAUGGCAGAGCAACUAUUCAUCAUUUCCAUGUGAGAGUUUAUCAUGAGGGUUCAU